This 393-nucleotide ribosomal RNA is filed under the name uncultured fungus. RNAcentral describes it as "eukaryotic LSU rRNA". The stretch from base 36 to 188 matches the Rfam family "5.8S ribosomal RNA". Lineage: Eukaryota; Fungi. The record is from RNAcentral.
UAUUAGACUGAAACCACUUUAUAUAACAAUUAUAAAACUUUUAGCAACGGAUCUCUGGGCUCUCGCAACGAUGAAGAACGCAGCGAAUUGCGAAAAGUAAUGUGAAUUGCAUAUACCGUGAAUCAUCAAAUCUUUGAACGCACCUUGCACCAUUGGGAACUCCCGAUGGUACGUCUGUUUGAGUAUCAAUCAACACCUGCAAACUUUGCUUUUAACCGAGCCAUACUUUGCAUAUCGAUUGGAUAGUUUUAUUACUACCGAUUUAGAUACAUAGUCUAGCCACGCUAGUCAACAGAGUUUAACACUUCUGAGUGACGAAUGUAGCAGCAUGACUGGGCUUCUUGAAGUCUUUAACUUUGAUCUUAAAUCAGACGAGGAUACCGCUGAACUUAA